GGCAUUAUACUUGCGAUCGCUUGUCACAUAUGGCGUCUAAUUUCUUCAUGGUAAUGUAAGCUACAAAAGUCAGGUCACCGUCAUGUGCAGCCUACCCUCGUCCUGCAAAUGUCAAUGUUUUGUUUCACCACUUCUUCACCUCCGUCUUUUGUAAAUCUAUUUUAUCAUUUAUUUUUCUUUUAGGAAUUUUGUUUCUUCAUAGGUUUGGGGAUUUGAACUGUGCUGUCAGGGAUGUGGAUUUCAGUAUGUGCGGAAGGAAGCGAUCUCGAAUUCUUAUAUUCCCUUUGCAACGAUGAAGGAAUUUAUGCAAUCAUAAGUGAUUUUGAUUACAGAGCCUCCGAGAUUUUGCAGUCAUCUAUCCUAGGAUUUUGGGUUUUCAUGAGCUGGGUUUUGGGGAGAUUGCGAGGAGAAUUCAAUCCAGAGAUGUUCUAGGGGAAUCCUUCUCUGCCGACCCUUUUUCUUAAUCGCUCAUGAGCUGAAGGUCGAUUCAAAAAUCGCGGUGAAUUUCAUUGCGUUUUAGUUUUCAAUCCUUUUCAAUCUUCGACGGGCUCUGGAUUUGAAGAAGUUGCUUUUCCACUUGUAUAUAUAUCAUAUGUAACAAGAGAAGCUUUUAUUUGAAUUGUUUUCGAAUUCUCUCUCUCUCUCUCUCUCUCUCUUGUUGGGACUCUAAAACUUGGUUUUGAGAGUCUUGCUCGAUUGUACUUGCAUGGAUUGGAUCGACUGAGGAAGAAAAGAAGAGAAAUUGAAGAGGUUAGGCUAAAAGAUGUCGUCAAAGUCGACAAACAAGACGAACUGUUCUAGGAGCAGCUCUUCUCGAUCGAGACAAUGUGCUCGGGUUGUGGCGCAGAUCCCCAUUGACGCUAAGCUUCAUAGCAACUUCGAGGAGUCGGAGCAGUUAUUCGAUUACUCCACUUCUGUGAACUUAAAUGUCUCAGUUAGUUCCGCUAGUGAUGUUCCGUCACCCACUGUAUCAGCUUAUCUGCAAAGCAUGCAGAGAGGAACGUAUAUCCAACCUUUUGGUUGUAUGAUUGUAGUUGAUGAGCAAAAAUUUUCUGUUCUAGCUUUCAGCGAAAAUGCCCAUGAAAUGUUGGAAUUGGCCCCUCAUGCGGUUCCAAGCAUUGAGCAGCAAGAAGCUCUCACUUUUGGAACAGAUAUCCGCACACUCUUUCAGUCCACUGGUGCUGCAGCCUUGCAGAAAGCUGCCAAUUUUGGGGAAGUAAAUUUGCUCAAUCCCAUAUUAGUUCAUUGUAAGAGUUCUGGUAAGCCUUUUUAUGCAAUUUUGCAUCGAAUUGAUGUGGGUUUAGUUAUAGAUUUGGAGCCUGUGAAUCCGGAUGAUGUCCCGGUUACGGCUGCUGGGGCAUUGAAAUCAUACAAGAUUGCAGCCAAAGCAAUCUCAAGAUUGCAGUCUUUGCCGACUGGGAAUAUAUCCCUGUUAUGUGAUGCGUUAGUUAAUGAAGUUAGGGAUUUGACGGGUUAUGAUCGUGUAAUGGUGUAUAAAUUUCACGAAGAUGAGCAUGGGGAAGUUGUUGCUGAGUGCCGUAGGCUAGACUUAGAACCUUACCUUGACUUGCAUUUCCCUGCUACUGAUAUACCGCAAGCUUCAAGAUUUCUCUUCACGAAGAACAGGGUCAGGAUUAUCUGUGAUUGUUUGGCCCCACCAGUUAAAGUAAUUCAAGAUAAGAGAUUGGCUCAGCCAGUGAGUCUUUGUGGAUCCACACUGAGGGCACCUCAUGGGUGUCAUGCACGGUAUAUGACUAACAUGGGUUCCAUUGCAUCGCUUGUGAUGUCCGUGGCUAUCAGUGAGGAUGAUGAUGUGAUGGAGGGUAAUCAGAAAAAGGAAAGGAGGUUGUGGGGUUUGGUGGUUUGCCAUAACACAAGGCCUCGAUUUGUUCCGUUCCCUCUAAGGUAUGCCUGUGAAUUUUUGAUUCAAGUUUUUGGUGUACAAGUUAACAAGGAAAUGGAGUUGGCAGCUCAGUUAAGGGAGAAGCAUAUUUUGCGGACUCAAACUGUGCUUUGCGACAUGCUCCUUAGAGAUGCGCCUCUAGGAAUUGUUACUCAGUCACCAAAUGUGAUGGACCUUGUUAAGUGUGAUGGAGCUGCAUUAUACUACAAUAAGGAAUUUUGGUUGCUUGGUGUCACCCCUACAGAGGCACAAGUGAAAGAUAUAGCUGAAUGGCUGCUUGAGUACCACAGUGGGAGCACAGGCUUGAGCACUGAUAGUCUUAUUGAAGCUGGUUACCCUGGUGCGUCUAUUAUUGGUGAUGCAAUUUGUGGAAUGGCGGCCAUUAGGAUUACUUCAAAGGAUUUUCUUUUUUGGUUCCGAUCCCACACGGCAAAGGAAAUCAAGUGGGGUGGUUCAAAACAUGAUCCUAAUGACAAGGAUGAUGGAAGGAAGAUGCACCCUAGAUCAUCUUUCAAGGCAUUUCUUGAUGUGGUUAAGCGACGCAGCUUACCGUGGGAAGAUGUGGAAAUGGAUGCCAUCCAUUCCCUGCAGCUGAUAAUGAGAGGAUCCUUGCAAGAUGACACUGAUUCCAUAAUGACUGUGAAAGUUCCAGCAGUUGAAACUGGGGUACAAAUUGGGGAUGAAAUGCGUAUUGUUACUAUUACUAAUGAAAUGAUUCGCCUAAUUGAAACUGCUUCUGUCCCAAUCUUGGCUGUUGAUUCCUUUGGUAUUAUUAAUGGGUGGAAUACCAAAGCAGCUGAACUAACAGGAUUGAUUGUGCAACAAGCUGUCGGCAUGCCCUUUGUUGAUCUUGUUGAGAAUGAUUCAAUUGAUGUCUUGAAGAACAUGCUUUCCUUGUCUUUGCAAGGUAUAGAAGAGAGAAAUGUUGAAAUCAAACUCAAAUCAUUUGGUUGUCAGGAGCACAAUGGUCCUGUGGUCUUGGUGGCUAAUUCGUGUUGUAGCCGAGAUAUAAAGGAAAACAUUGUUGGGGUUUGCUUUAUUGGUCAAGAUGUGACAGGGCAGAAGCUGAUUAUGGACAAAUAUACCCGUAUCCAAGGUGAUUAUGUUGGAAUUGUACAGAGUCCAAGUGCACUUAUUCCUCCAAUAUUUAUGACGGAUGAGCAUGGCCAAUGUUUUGAGUGGAAUGACGCUAUGCAAAAGUUGUCUGGUUUGAAGAGGGAAGAAACCAUUGACCGGAUGCUUCUUGGAGAGGUCUUUACAGUCAGCAAUUUUGGUUGUCGGGUCAAAGAUCAAGACACAUUAACAAAGCUUAAGAUAUUUCUGAACAGUGUGAUUGCUGGACAGGAUGUAGAUAAAUUGUUAUUUGGGUUCUUUGAUCAGAUAGGUAAAUAUGUUGAAGCUUUGGUUUCUGCAAACAGAAGAACUGAUGCAGAUGGAAGGAUCAAUGGGGUUUUGUGCUUUUUGCAUGUGGCUAGUCCAGAGCUCCAAUAUGCCAUGCAGGUGCAGAGGAUAUCAGAACAAGCUGCAGCAAAUAGCACAAAGCAGCUGGCAUAUAUUCGUGAGGAAAUCAAAAGGCCUCUAAAUGGGAUAAUGUUUAUUCAGAAUCUAAUGGAGUCUUCUGAUUUGAAUGAAAAACAGAAACUUCUUCUGAAGACUAGCACAUUGUGUCGGGAACAAUUGGGCAAGAUUAUUGAUGACUCUGAUAUUGAAAGUAUUGAGGAGUGCUAUAUGGAGAUGAAUUCUGUUGAAUUUAACCUUGGGGAAGCUCUGGAAGUUGUCAUAAGUCAAGUUAUGAUUUUGAGCCACGAACGUCAGGUGCAAUUCAUUCAUGAGUCACCUUCUGAAGUGUCGUCCAUGUGUUUAUAUGGUGACAACUUAAGGCUUCAGCAAAUUCUCUCAGAUUUCUUGACAAAUGCACUCCUAUUCACCCCAGCAUUUGAAGGAUCAUCAGUUGUACUCAGGGUGAUCCCCAAAAAGGAAAGCAUAGGGAAAAAGAUACAUAUUGCUCAUCUUGAAUUUCAGAUCAUCCACCCAUCACCUGGAAUCCCCGAAGAUUUAAUUCAAGAGAUGUUUCACUAUAAUCGAAGUGCCUCACGGGAAGGCCUGGGUCUGUACAUCAGCCAGAAGCUUGUCAAGAUCAUGAAUGGCACUUUACAGUAUCUUAAAGAGGCAGAGACAUCAUCUUUUGUUAUUCUUGUAGAAUUUCCAUUGGCUACACAGGAUUGAUCACCAGUUGGUAUAUAGAGUAUGAUGAAUAUGCUAACAUGUUCAAACUGCAGAAAACUAGAGUUGAUCCUCCUUCUCGGGACCUGCCAUCUCAGCAAAAUGAGUGCCUAUAUGGAGGCCAGGGAGCAGAACUUUGAACCAAUCCGACAUGGUAAUAUGGUAUACUGAAAAUUGCAAAUCUAGUGUUUGUAGCAGGUUUAUCCAAAGUCUGUAAAAAUGAGAACAUGUUGUCCUGAAGAUGAAAAUUACAAGGAACAUGAGUUGGCAUUCAAGGCUUGACAGAAAAGCAUAGAAAAGCUUAACACUUGUUCAGAUCAUAAUUUCCUUUUCACACAGUAAGAAUUCAUUUUCUCAUAACCUAUGCAUAGAAAAGCAUGGUAGUCCCUUGUCACAUUAAAUAUCCAAUUCAUUGAUCAUAACCUGUAAAUGAUAAAUGAAAAAUUUUAACAGGUAGCUUAACACUUGUCUGGAAACAUUUACUGUAUUUACCGCAUUGACUUAUUUGUAAAAAUUCUCAGUACAUCAUACUUUCGAUGCCAUCAUACUUAUUUGUAAACAUUUACUGUAUUUACCGCAUUAACUAGUGGUUGGCAAGUUUAUUGCUUCAGAUUUGGAAUAGAAACAUCUAUACUCUUUUUAAUAUAUAAUGGUUGAGAUGCCAAACAAUUUUCUUUAAUUUUUGGAUCGAAGUGCAGGCAGUUUUCUGGGUAGAACUUUUUGUUAUGAUCCUUGCAAUCCCUACAACUCUGCUGUGGAAAUAUUCCCAUGUGCUUUAUGUAGGGAACUUAUGCAGAAGAUCUCUUCCCUCUCCCUUUGACUUGUGCACAAGGUUUGCUUGGCUUGCCAAGUAAGAUUGUUCUGCAUGCUCUGACAUCCUGAUUUUCACUGUGCAACUUUGACCUCCUCCAAAUAGUUAUUUCUAAUUGUCUACACUGGCAGUUACCCCUAUGCUUCUUCCCUAUCCUGGCUGUGUAAAUGUAUGAACCUUUCAGGUUUUGCUCAGUUGUGAAAGCAGUGCUGCGAAGACUGCCGUGCUCUUCAGUUCUGCUGCUGUGUGAAGGUCCUGCACUAUUAGUUUUUUCCCAAAAAAAGGCCUUCCUCUGUUCUUGUAUUGGUUCUAUCUCUGUCUUUUUCACCCUCUAUGUUUUGUUUUUUUUUUUCCUGUGCUUGCUUAUGUUGUGUUCUUAAUAAAAAUUCAAUGCUCUUCCUAAUUUUUUUUUCUUUUCUUUUUUAGUUUGAAUCAGUUCAUUUAUUUAUUAGAAGUAUUUGUAAGCUCUGAAAUAGUUUAUAGUUUACUCUUUUCUUUCUGUUUUUUUAUUUAAAAUUUUUAAAAUUUUCAUGAAAAUUUUCUGAAAAAUUGUUGUGAAGCCAGAUGAAAUCAUAGGUAACUGCUAUGCUACAAGAUUUUAUUCACUUCAGCUCUGGUUACGUACUCCCAGUUUCCAAGAUAGCUGAUUUACCAUGUUUCAGGUCAUUGUCAGGGGCAGGAUGCUAAAUUCAAUUAAAAGUUUCAGAUGCUUUCGAGUUAUUGCAGUCAUUCACUAUAUCUUUUCAUCAUGGUUACAACUUUCUGGUUGCAGACUCUCCCAUUUUUUAUGAGGCCUAAAAAAUUGCUUCAAUGGAGAAUGAUGAAUAUUUUCCCUACAUGCGAGGGAGACCAGGGGCUUUGGGCUGGUGUGGAUUCUGACUGCCCCCUUCCAAGCCUAGUGAAUUCCCCUUGUAUACAAUGUUAAGCAGUUAUUGUUUUGGUCUUCUCUUUAAUUUAGCCCCUGUAUAAAAUAAAAUUGUAGCUUGCUCCCCUAAUUCCAUUUUUUAAUUACACUUAUGUGGGAAUUUCGAUGUGCUAUGUACUUUUCCCCUGCAAGGCAUAAAUCCUGCAUCUUCCCCUGCUACUCGUCCUAUUUGCAGUUGUUUUCUUUUAAUAUUUCCACUCUGAUUGUAGGUCUCCUGAAAUCAGGCAGGUUUCAGCUGGAUUUGGAAAAAUGGCUCGGAGCGGAGUAGAUUAUUUUCAUCAUCUGCUGGCGAAAUAUGUACCACUCUUGGGAACGUCAGUUAAUGGGGUAAGGUUUCUCACUGAAGUUUUAUGGUGUGUGCGUGGGUGAGUGGGUGUGGGUGUGUAGAUCAACCAUUAAUCAUGUGAGUUUUGAUGUCAGGAUGUUUAGGACCAGUUUUAUUUUUUUAUUCAUUUUUGCUCAACGCGACCCUCGGAGCAAAAUGCCAAUAUUGUUUGUUCAUGGGAAAAUCUGAUUUUGGUACUGGGUUUUAAUCAGAGGCUUAGAGAGGAUUCCCCCCCCCCCCUCUUUUCGUGUGGCCCGGGGGGUACAAGCGAAGAAAAAAAAGGUUUAUUGGAUUUAUUCAGUGUUUUAUGAAUGCUAUUAGUAUUCCUUUGAUAGCUCAGUCCAACCCAAUUUCGUUUCAAUUAUAUCAUGUCCAAAUGUGGUGUCAUUAAGUUAUUAUGUCUCCCCCUUGUUUGCACAAUGUUGUAGUUAUGUUGUUCCCUCUGCAAAAUGUUAUUUCGGCUAAUUUAUAAUAAAAUAUUGGUUAGUUCUCUUC
RNA transcript from Malania oleifera, 6682 nucleotides. It is a transcript of the gene named phytochrome C, with no coding region annotated. Lineage: Eukaryota; Viridiplantae; Streptophyta; Magnoliopsida; Santalales; Ximeniaceae. The record is from RefSeq and is a predicted model, not a curated record. The transcript is spliced from 5 exons.